GAUGAACGCUGGCGGCGUGCCUAAUACAUGCAAGUCGAGCGAACAGACGAGGAGCUUGCUCCUCUGACGUUAGCGGCGGACGGGUGAGUAACACGUGGAUAACCUACCUAUAAGACUGGGAUAACUUCGGGAAACCGGAGCUAAUACCGGAUAACAUGUUGAACCGCAUGGUUCAACAGUGAAAGACGGUUUUGCUGUCACUUAUAGAUGGAUCCGCGCCGCAUUAGCUAGUUGGUAAGGUAACGGCUUACCAAGGCAACGAUGCGUAGGCGACCUGAGAGGGGGAUAGGCGACACUGGAACUGAGACACGGUCCAGACUCCUACGAGAGGCAGCAGUAGGGAAUCGUCCGCAGUGGGCGAAAGCCUGACGGAGCAACGCCGCGUGAGUGAAGAAGGUCUUCGGAUCGUAAAACUCUGUUAUUAGGGAAGAACAAAUGUGUAAGUAACUAUGCACGUCUUGACGGUACCUAAUCAGAAAGCCACGGCUAACUACGUG
RNAcentral lists this ribosomal RNA (497 nucleotides) under uncultured bacterium. Its description in RNAcentral is "partial 16S ribosomal RNA". It matches the Rfam family "Bacterial small subunit ribosomal RNA", at positions 28 to 507 of the family's 1533-position model. The record is from RNAcentral.